Molecule: ribosomal RNA, 229 nt
Filed under: uncultured bacterium
Lineage: Bacteria
Description: partial 16S ribosomal RNA
Rfam family: Bacterial small subunit ribosomal RNA
Source: RNAcentral
UACGUAGGCAGCGAGCGUUGUUCGGAGUUACUGGGCGUAAAGGGUGUGUAGGCGGUUGUUUAAGUUUGGUGUGAAAUCUCCCGGCUCAACCGGGAGGGUGCGCCGAAUACUGAAUGACUAGAGUGUGGGAGAGGUGAGUGGAAUUCCUGGUGUAGCGGUGAAAUGCGCGAUAUCAGGAGGAACACCCGUGGUGAAGCAGGCUCUCUGGGACCGGUAACUGACGCUGAGA